GCGGGAGUAGCUCAGUGGUAGAGCACAACCUUGCCAAGGUUGGGGCCGCGGGUUCGACCCCCGUCUCCCGCUCCA
RNAcentral lists this transfer RNA (75 nucleotides) under Deltaproteobacteria bacterium. Its description in RNAcentral is "tRNA-Gly". It matches the Rfam family "tRNA". Rfam says of the family: Transfer RNA (tRNA) molecules are approximately 80 nucleotides in length. RNAcentral also lists the same sequence under 1 other name. Lineage: Bacteria; Pseudomonadati; Myxococcota; Myxococcia. The record is from RNAcentral.